Long non-coding RNA from Lepidothrix coronata (blue-crowned manakin), 5621 nucleotides. RefSeq lists it as uncharacterized. The transcript has 3 exons. The record is from RefSeq and is a predicted model, not a curated record. Lineage: Eukaryota; Metazoa; Chordata; Aves; Passeriformes; Pipridae.
CAGAAAUUAAAUAUUUCUACAAGUUAUUUCAUGGCUCAUUGUUUUAUCCAGUUGCUAAUUUAUGCAGAUGUGUAGUUCAAAUCGCUAUAUAGGCUGCUUCAACGCUUUGCAACAACUGCUUCCCAGAUCGACUUGUGGAAAACAGUUGAGUUGAUUCCAAGAAAAGAAUGCACGAGAUCUGAGAAUGGUGAUACUGUUCUCACUCAGCAUCCUGACUGCAACAGCAGCCAUACAGUUUCUUUUGAGGCCACGUCUGUCUCACAGCCUUGAGCAUACUCUCAAGGAAGUUGAUGAACAACUACAUAUGACAUUUCCCCACCCUUCAAUGACUGAUAUCUGGAGGGGGUUUGUUUCUUAGUUUGGGGGCUUGCUUCGAUCCCAACCUGACCUUCCCUUUCUGGGUCAAAAACAGAAGGAACUGUUAGUGGUCCAUGUACGAGAAUGUAAGUCCGUACUGUGGCCUUAGUCCAUAGCCCAAGGCAAGGAAUGUGUGUUGCAAGAAGAUUUUUGGACUGGACGCCUGUUGUUACAUUUAAGAACCAUCAAGCUUAAAUCCUAACUGCUGUGCCAAAGGCUGGGGAAAAUGAAUGUGGUUGUCUUGACACAGAGAAGAAUAGUGAACUCUGCUGGCUGCAGCCAGUGUGAAUUGGUGGAUUGAUGAAACCAGUUUCCCUACAUAAGAUGAGAAAGGGAAUGUCUGCUUCCUGUUCUCGCUCUCAAUUUCUUUUCUUUUUCUAGUUUCAUUUUUCACCUGCACUCUUGUAUUUUAGUGGUCCUUGUAUUGCUAGCUUUUUUUGCUUGCCUUGUGUACGUGUAGGCCAUGUUUCUUAUUUCCCACUGAAGACCUUUGAACUUCAGGCUGGUUUUCUUUCUUUUUCAACUCCUUAAUCAAAAUCUUCUCUUUCUUUUUGCAGCCAGAUACGUGACAAGGUUUGUAGCCAGUACUGUUUAACCUUGGGUAGUACUGGAAAUAUUUUUUCUAUUUAUGCUGUUAGGUUCUGAUUAAAACUUACUGAUGCAUUCACCUUUGCCUAAAGUUGGAAACAGUUUGAACUUGUUAGUUUGAGAGAGAGAGUGACUGCUGCCGAGUACUUUUGUGGUUUCUGCGUUUGUAAUGUUAUGGCCUCUGUGGUACUUCACCCUCUGUAAAAUGACACUGGAUGCUUGGAUUUCAUCUAUUAUAAUGGAACUUCUUUAAACUAGAAGAGUAGGCUCUUUACCCUCCUUGCCUGUUCUGCUAUUUAGAAAGUUCUGGAUAGUACCAGCAGUUAUAUCUGGAGUUCCAGUACUGCUCUGAAGUUGAGUUCCUAGACUCUGAGUAUCAUCUCAUGGAGUCUUACAGGAUCCAACUUACUCUGUACUCAAGAAGCUCCUGUCGGUAAGUAGUAAGUCAGCACCGCUUCCUGAAGCAGAAUUAUUGAGAUGGUGACUGCUGCAAGGGAACCCACUAUGGUACUGCCUGAAGAGCUGUGCAGUGAGAAGUGCCUGCUCGGGAGGUUUGGGCUCAUCAGCUGUGAUGCCUUCUCCAGAGGAGUGGGAGAACAGUGGAGACACAUUAUAGUUCUCAAAGGUGUAUUUUCAUUCAAAGGCCUCUUCAUUCCCUUUUCAGAAAUCCACGUGUUGGCUUUACUUCCACCCAUUUCUCUUUCCUCAGGUGGGGAUGAGAAGUACAGAAAGGUUAAUCGAAUAUAUAAGAGUCAAAGAAGAGCUUUUUCUUCUCUUGAUUCAUCCACACAUGUUGCAGAGGGUCCUGUGGAGCUUCUGGUCAUUCUGAGGGCUUCAUAAACCAGGGAAAGUGGUUUCUUCUAAUUCCUCCAGUACUACUGCUUUACUUUGGAUUAGUCCUGGGUUUAGGUCGUCUUUUGGUCUAGGCAUUAGUUUUCCUGCUUUUUUCUGUUACCUAUGUCUCAUUUCAUGUGCUGGGGGGGGAAGAGUGCCUUUUACCCAGAAUUUUGCUGUUGCUUGAACAUGCUUGAGAAAAAUUAGAGGUUUGGGGAUUUGGGGGGGGAGGACCUUUUCCAUUGUUCUUUCAACUCUGUGCUCCCCUCUUCUAUCUGCAAAGGCAAAGGCUAUUCCAAUGAAGUACCACUGGGUGGUGGUUCUCCUGUAGGAGAACCAAAUGAACAACAACAAAAAAAUCCUUGUGUUAAAAUGAAAGUUCCUCUAUUUUGAUUUUUCCCAUCCUUCUUCUUCUGUUACUUGGCAUCACCGAGGAGAUUUUCGCUCCAAUUUCUUUACUCCCCCCACCAGGUCAUUAGUAUGCCCAGAGAACGUCCCCCUGAACUUUCUCCACUCCAGUAAAGAAACAGUCACAGCUCUCUCAGCCUCUCAACAUAGCUCAUGUGGUCGACAGCCUUCAGCAUCUUCAUGGCCAUUGUAGGCCUGGAAGCUGCAUGGUAUCUAUUUUGGAAUUCACUUCUGUGUGUCACAGACUUGACAGAAACAAUGUAGGAGUCACAAGUAUCAUCAAAUGUGAACGGCAGCAUAGAGCGCCUGGUCUAUGACUCUUCAAAGAUCUGAUUUCUUCUUAGGAAGACUUUGAAAUCAGAAUGAUUAGUGAGAAUAGCUUAGUUAUCCCCUAGAAUAACCACCUGCUAGGGGAGACAGGAUUAAGUGCUCCUGUCUAGUGAUCUGGGCUGACUUUUGUUGUGUAAUAAAACCCGCUUGCUAUGAGGAAGCUCUAGCUGUUGGGUUUUUUUCUUAGUACAGAUUUUGCAAGAAAAACUGGUGUCUCUAUAUUUUUAUAUAUGAGUGUCAUGGUAUUUGCAGUAACAAUAAAGAAAAGUCUUGGCCUGACCUGUAGGAGCUCUUUCCAUUUUCCAUCUUAAGAUGAAGAAAAGAAUACUAGCACAUGCUUUUUCCUAUACAAUGAUAUAUGUCGACCCUGCAGCAGCUGCUGUUGCACCUCUUCCCUUUGGAAGCUGCAGAAGCCAGCAUCAACUGAAAUGCUCCCUGUGGAUGGCACUUGUGCAUAUCUCAGCAUUUAGCUGACGGUCUGCACGUGUAUUGGAUGAUCAACUUUAGCUAUAUCCUCGUUGCAAUAACUCCACCGUGCUUUCUUGAUAUUUUUCAGUUGCCCAGUUAUAACCCAGCUAGUGAGUUACAGCUUGUUUUGCACUACUAUUACCAUUGAUGGCUCAGCAAUGAGAAUGCUACAGCCUGGCUGACUAAGAGUUUCUCUUCACUAAAAAUCAACCCCCCUACCAAGAUGUCUCUAUUUGGAAUUAUAUUAUUGUGGAAUGAUAUUAUUGUGACAUUAUCUGUGGAGGUUAAGAAUGUUUUAGGAGUUUUAACAGUCAUAUUUAGGUAAUAGUACCAAAACUCUGUAUUAACUGUAAAUCUUAACUCUGUAUGUUGUUUAAUUCUAGGUACGACAGGAACUGGAUGAAAAAAUCACUAGAGACCUUCAACAAGCCUUCCACUUGAGACUUGAAUGUGAAAACUUCCUGCUUACCAAAAUGUUGCGUACAAUGUUAUGCAGUUGCCUGGAAAAAGCCAAGCACAAAGAAACCCUUGGCUUAAGCUGAAGUUGCCCUUCACUAGAGUUCAUCUCAAGCACAAACAGCAAAGCAGCCACAAGAUAAGAUAAGCUUCAGCCAUCACUUCCCCUCCCAUGUACACCGAUGGCAUUCAGCACUAAACCGCACCAUACCCAUUCUUUGCUGUUGGUUCCUGAUUUUUGCUAUGAUUCUAUGAUUCAUGGCUUGUCUUGGUAGCUUAGGUGGUGCAGUCUUUUUUGGAAUAAACAAGAAGAUCAGUGACAAAAGAUAAUCUGUUUUUAGGAAACGAUUAUUCAGUACUUUUUUGGCAAAUAUCAAUUCAGUGCUUGCCGUACGUAGCAUAAAUCAUGCAGUAGAAUUUGAGGCCAGGUGUCCAAAGAGGAAAUGCACCUGUUCCAUGGUAAUUUCUUCCUCCAGAGUUACUGCUUUGCAGUGCCUGGUGCUGUGUAGUAGUAGUAGUGUGGCAAUAAAUCACUGGUUUGAACAUAAAAGGAAAGCAGAGACUUUGGGGGGCUGUUUAGCAUGGGAGUCGUUUGUGGAUUGCCUGAAGGUGUUCAGUGUGUAGCCUCCAGAAUGUCUUCCACUUGCUUUAGAAAUGCUGUUGACGGAUAAGCAAUUGUGGAAAAAAUGGGUUUCUUCCUUUGCACCUAGCCCUUCCGUUGUUAUGUUCCCUUGGAAAUUUUAAAGUCUCUGUCUGGAUGGCAGUCUCUUGUGUUGCCUGUCAUGUUCUUGCCUUGCCUUAUUUUGCCCUGUCUGCUGUAAAAGUAAUGCCAGGAAUCUUGUGUCUUUUCUCUCCAGCUACUGCUGAACUUGAAAGGGGAUCUGCUGGAUCUUCAAAAAAUCUUCACGUGGACCAGGAUCCCCUUUGCAGAGCAAUAGAGGAGUACCGUGAUGUUUUAACCAAAAAUUACCUGAUUUGAACGAAAUGCUACGAAAGGCUCUGGAAAUCAUUUGGUUUUCAUAAUUGACUGAUCUUGACUCUUGAGGUUGACAAAAUCAUCAAAUUUAUUUCUUAUUAUGGUCAAUGCAUUAGCGUUUGCUUUGUUCUGUUAAAUCAUUUUAGUCAAUGUGUUUGGAAUGUUUCCAGUGUUAUUUUAAUGUUUAGGACAUUAUUUGAUGGGCUUUCACCCUGCUGCUUCAGUCCUGAUGCAGUGACUGUUUCUGCUGAUAAAGUUUUAGAGGUGUUCAAGCUGUAGAAAAGGGCACUUUACAUUGUCAUCACUUUAUGCGAUGUAGGUUUAAAAUGACUGAGUACGUAGUAGUACUAAGAGUUGUUAUAUGGUCUUUUUGGUUUGUUUGUUUUGUAUCACAGAAUGGGUGAGUUUGGAAGGAACCUCUGGAGGUCAUCAGGUCCAGCCCCCUGCUGAAGGAGGGCCACCUAGAGGCAAUUGCCCACAUCUGAGUUGGCUUUUGAAUACCUCCAAGGAGGGAGACUCCAGAGGCUCCAUGGGCAGCCUGUGAUAGAGCUCAGUCACGCACACAGUACACUUGAAUACCAUGAGAGGCAAUGGGCACAAACUCAGUACCUUUUCACAGUAUUGGUGUUGAUUUCUGUAUUAAAAAUUGCUGCAGUUUCAGACAUUUGCAGCUCUUGCAUCAAAACCUAUGGUGCACCCAAAACAUUUCUAAUCGGAGGGAAAAAAAUGAAUGUUAGUGCAUCAACUUUAAGUUUCCUCAGUACUCUCCAGAACUUCUGUGAUAGGAUAGGCAGUCUUUUUGUUGCUGCUAACAGCUGAUGAUACGGUGUCUGUAACCCAGCUGUUAGCCCAGAUGUGGUGGGACAUUGUGUCAACCUUACAAGCAGCUUUACUUAUUUCAGGGAACUACCAGUUGUUAAUGAAGAUCUGAGUUGUCAUUUCCCAUCCUGAAAAGUCACCAGCAAUCUGAAGACUAUAGAACAAAGUCCCAGUUCUGGAAAAGAUGGAUGUAAGAAUGAUUGUACUGAGAUGUAGAAGACUGGAAAAAUUUGGGGGAGUUUACUGACUAAUUCAAGGAUUUAACAGUCAGCGAGGAAAGCAUUAAAUGCUGCUGUGACAUUCUUCCUUUUUAUAUGAAUACAUUUUUGUGAAGCUAACACACUGUGUAUAAUUCAACUUGAUAUUUAAUAAACUUUGCAAUCCA